ACGAACGCUGGCGGCGUGCUUAACCCCUGCAAGUCGAACGGAAAGGCCCUGCUUUUGUGGGGUGCUCGAGUGGCGAACGGGUGAGUAACACGUGAGUAACCUGCCCUUGACUUUGGGAUAACUUCAGGAAACUGGGGCUAAUACCGGAUAGGAGCUCCUGCUGCAUGGUGGGGGUUGGAAAGUUUCGGCGGUUGGGGAUGGACUCGCGGCUUAUCAGCUUGUUGGUGGGGUAGUGGCUUACCAAGGCUUUGACGGGUAGGCCUGAGAGGGUGACCGGCCACAUUGGGACUGAGAUACGGCCCAGACUCCUACGGGAGGCAGCAGUGGGGAAUAUUGCACAAUGGGCGGAAGCCUGAUGCAGCAACGCCGCGUGCGGGAUGACGGCCUUCGGGUUGUAAACCGCUUUCGCCUGUGACGAAGCGUGAGUGACGGUAAUGGGUAAAGAAGCACCGGCUAACUACGUG
This 464-nucleotide ribosomal RNA is filed under the name uncultured bacterium. Its description in RNAcentral is "partial 16S ribosomal RNA". It matches the Rfam family "Bacterial small subunit ribosomal RNA", at positions 29 to 507 of the family's 1533-position model. The record is from RNAcentral.